RNAcentral lists this ribosomal RNA (582 nucleotides) under Triticum aestivum (bread wheat). Its description in RNAcentral is "partial small subunit ribosomal RNA". The record is from RNAcentral. Lineage: Eukaryota; Viridiplantae; Streptophyta; Magnoliopsida; Poales; Poaceae.
AUGCAUCAGAGAAAGCUGAAAGCUCACCAGGCAGUGCAGGCUGAAGAAGCAAACUGGUACGUCUCCAACCUAUCUAUAAUUUUUGAUUGUUCCAUGCUAUUAUAUUACCUGUUUUGGAUGUUUAUGGGCUUUACUUUACACUUUUAUAUCAUUUUUGGAACUAACCUACUAACCGGAGGCCCAGCCCGAAUUGCUAUUUUUUGCCUAUUUCAGUGUUUCGAAGAAAAGGAAUAUAAAACGGAGUCCAAACGGUAUGAAACCUUCGAGAGCGAUCUUUUUGGAACAAACGAAACCCAGGAGACUUGGAGUGGACAUCAAGAAGCGAACGAGGCGGCCACGAGGGUGCCCGGCACGCCCCCACCCUCGUGGUCCCCUCGAGGCUCCACCAACCUACUUCUUCCUCCUAUAUAUAUCCACUUACCCCGAGAACAUCAAGGAGCACCACGAAAACCUAAUUCCACCGCCACAACCUUCUGUAUCCGCGAGAUCCCAUCUUGGAGCCUUCGUUGGUGCUCCGUCGGAGGGGGAAUCGACCAUGGAGGGCCUCUACAUCAUCUCCAAGGCCUCUCAGAUGAGUUGUGA